Non-coding RNA from Styela clava, 679 nucleotides. NCBI's taxonomy places the organism in Eukaryota, Metazoa, Chordata, Ascidiacea, Stolidobranchia, Styelidae. The record is from RefSeq and is a predicted model, not a curated record.
CUCAUCGGCCGGUUAUAUGCAAAAACCCAUUUUUUCAGGCUUAAAAACAGGCCUCGUCUUAUUCGCCGGGUAGACUUAUUCGCCGGAAAAUACGGUAACUAAUAUUAAUGAAAAAUUUAUAUUCUGGUAAUUAGUAUAGGCCAUUCGUUCACGUUUAUCAUCUGAAAGACAAUCAUGUACUAUAUAUUGUGUAACACUAACUUGAUUUUCAGAGAUCCAGCCAUGCUCCAAUCCAGUCCAUGGAAAAAUUGUUGGGACGGGCGGUAGAAACUCUUAUGCUACAAGCUACGGCAUCUGCAACUUUCCACUGAUUAUAGUGUGGACUCGGACAUAAAGGAAUUGAUGAAAUUCAUUGUCAAAUAAUUGUCUGAUUACAUUUUGAUCCAGAAAACAUUCAAGGAUGAAAAAAUCGCUCAUAAGAUAUUUGUCAAGUCUUGGAGGUUGCUCCGAGAAAGACUUGAUUGGAGAAUCAUGAGCUCAGUUAUAACAAAUUUACUCUCCCGCUCUUUCAACUGUGCAGGACGCGGUGGAUAAGGAGUGAGUGGGACGCCCUGAGUUUCUGCUAUUAAAGCUAUGGAUGAUCUGGCAACGAACUCCGAUUAAUUUUAUUACAUGUAUACAUAUUUGUAAAAUAAAGACAUUUUGUUAUCUUUUGUUUUUUAUUAUAUAAAUAAUGUUA